This is a non-coding RNA of Schistosoma margrebowiei, 46 nucleotides long. The record is from Rfam. Lineage: Eukaryota; Metazoa; Platyhelminthes; Trematoda; Strigeidida; Schistosomatidae.
ACACUACUGAGGAGUCCAGUAAUAGGACGAAACGGCCGUUCAGUGC